This is a long non-coding RNA of Varroa destructor (honeybee mite), 1521 nucleotides long. RefSeq lists it as uncharacterized. The record is from RefSeq and is a predicted model, not a curated record. Lineage: Eukaryota; Metazoa; Arthropoda; Arachnida; Mesostigmata; Varroidae.
UCGAUUUAGUCAUGAUUCGUCAGGUUGAUACGCAUUACUGCUGCUGCUGCUGCUGCUGCUCGGGCACAAUUGUUUGUUUUUUUUUUUUUUUAAUAAUACAUCUAUCGAGGCCGAAAGAGGCUUUAUUUUUGCCCAAACCAAAAAAAAAACGUUAAAAUUAUUGAAAAAUACUGUAAAGGUCGAAAUCGAUGAAUUAAUACAUUUAAUUCUACAAAGCAGUACGUACUUAUUCAAUCCUGACUUAGUAGGUAGAGCACGUUUCCGACAUGGGUUAUAUACCUCUAUUAUACUAAGACUGCUGACGAUAUAUGUGCUUAAUUAGCUCUUUAUAAGUGCGUAAAACUUCUUUAUAUGCUAUCAGAUUGUUGACUAGCUACUACUUAGCUUCGUAUGUCAACGAAAACUUUUUUCAUAGAAACUUCUUUUCAUCAGUGUAAAUAGAAUAUUACGUGCAGUCAAGGGAAGCAAGGUAAGUGGUUACAUUCAAUAACGGGUGUACACUCUAACCAUGCGCGAUACAAUGUGCAGUCCGCGAAACAGUGAGCGCAUUGAAAAGGCAAAUGACGAGCGCGGUAGCUUCAGCAAAUCACGAUGGCUCACUAAUGAAUCCUGCUUGCUAGUCAGCAAGAUCAGGCAGACUCGUACAAGCCGGCGCAGUCCAACGGACAAGUCGCCUGUGUCUAGGUAACUCGAUUAUUUUUAAAAAGGCUAUCGUGUUAAUCGUAAUGAUGAAUACUUUACAACACCCCCGAAAAACUGACGGCGGAAGAGGUGACGCUAUCGAGAUCGACAACAACAUUCGAAACUUCUCUCCUGCUUCUGUCCUAAAAUAUCUCCGCAAUGAAUUUUUACGCGUCCGUAUACAUCAUGGAAGUGACCUUGUGUACUAAGAACAGAAAGCAGUAGGAUCAGAAAAAGCGCACAAAUAUGCCGGGAAUAAAUUCGACCAACUGGCUACCGUGGAAUCGCCGAUAUCGUGAACGUGAUGGGUUCCAUAGCACAGAAAUAUCUAGAUGCCCCGCACCGUUAAGACCUCGGAAGCACUGGUUUCGGAUAUGGCUAUAAUCAGUCGUAUGCUCUGUACUAAUUAGUUAACGCCACCGCAAAGAUCCACGAUAACGGCGAUACAGACGAAUCUGUGGGGUCCGGAGGUCUGUCUUUCAUAUAUAUAUAUAUAAUUUUUUUGGUGCAUCAUAUCAUUGCCCCCGUUUUUAAAAUCCAGAAAGACCACGAGAUUUCAACGUGCUAAGGAGGUCAAUGUAAAGUUAUCGCACAAUUUUUAAGUAAAGUUCUAAAUAAUGUUUUCCAUAUUUCUAAAUGUCUUUCCAUUAAUCUUAUUCUUUCAGUUAUUGUCUGUCAUAUGUUGUUUACACUCGUCUGCUUAGAGCAUGAAUGCACUGAUACUUGCUUACGUAUUGCUCAAAAAGCUAAUAACUGGAGCCAAUCAUAGACGUACCGGCAUAAAUGACGUAGUACAUAUAAAAGCCAUUUCGUUGUCCUUUUUUUUUGUGAAACCUUCAC